AUGAACGCUGGCGGCGUGUCUAAGGCAUGCAAGUCGAACGGAUCCAGUUGUGAUUACAUCAAUGCUGGAUUAGUGGCAAACGGGAGCGUAACACAUUGGUAACCUGCCCCGAAGACGUGAACAACUCCGCGAAAGCGGAGCUAAUACACGAUACGAUUGCGAUGGCGCAAGCUGUUGCAAGGAAAGCCCAAAAGGCGCUUCGGGAGGGACCUAUGGUCCAUCAGCUAGUUGGCGGGGUAAUAGCCCACCAAGGCUUCGACGGAUAGCAGGCGUGAGAGCGCGACCUGCCUCAGUGGAACUGAGACACUGUCCACACUCCUACGGGAGGCUGCAGUCAAGAAUCUUCCUCAAUGGACGAAAGUCUGAAGGAGCGACGCCGCGUGCAGGAUGACGCCCUUCGGGGUGUAAACUGCUUUUUCCAGGGACGAAUUUCGAUGACGGUACCUGGAGAAUAAGAGGUUGCUAACUCUGU
RNAcentral lists this ribosomal RNA (472 nucleotides) under uncultured bacterium. RNAcentral describes it as "bacterial SSU rRNA". It matches the Rfam family "Bacterial small subunit ribosomal RNA", at positions 29 to 506 of the family's 1533-position model. The record is from RNAcentral.